RNAcentral lists this unclassified non-coding RNA (240 nucleotides) under soil metagenome. Its description in RNAcentral is "partial contains 5.8S ribosomal RNA, internal transcribed spacer 2, and large subunit ribosomal RNA". The record is from RNAcentral.
AACCAUAGAAACCUGCGGAGUACCUGCGGAGGGAUCAUUAUAGUAUAUGGAAUCUCCAUUCUAUAAACCCACUCUGCGUAUCUUGUAACUGUUGCUUCCAUGGGACUUGGUUCCGCCACACCGGCUUCACGGCUGUGAGCGCCCAUGGAAGGAGAAACAAAACUCUUCUUUGAAAUGUAGUCAGUCUGAACAAGUUUUUAUAAACGUUAAAACUUUUAACAAUGGAUCUCAGAUCGGAAG